CACGCCCUAAACGGUGGGUAUUAGGUGUGGGGCCUUCAUGGGUUCCGUGCCGUAGCGAAAGCAUUAAAUACCCCGCCUGGGGAGUACGGCCGCAAGGUUGAAACUCAAAGGAAUUGACGG
RNAcentral lists this ribosomal RNA (120 nucleotides) under uncultured bacterium. Its description in RNAcentral is "partial 16S ribosomal RNA". It matches the Rfam family "Bacterial small subunit ribosomal RNA", at positions 796 to 916 of the family's 1533-position model. The record is from RNAcentral.